CCUACGGGAGGCUGCAGUCGAGAAUCUUGCGCAAUGGGCGAAAGCCUGACGCAGCGACGCCGCGUGAGGGAAGAAGGCCUCCUGUGCGUAAAGCGGAGGAGGAGUGACGGUACCCAUAGAAGAAGCUCCGGCUAACUACGUGCCAGCAGCCGCGGUAAUACGUAGGGAGCGAGCGUUGUCCGGAAUUACUGGGCGUAAAGCGUCCGUAGGCGGCGAGGUAAGUCGCACGUGAAAGCCCCGGGCUCAACUCGGGUGAGUGCGUGCGAUACUGCCCCGCUUGAGUGCCGGAGGGGAGAGUGGAACGGUGCAAGUAGCGGUGAAAUGCGUAGAUAUGCAUCGGAACACCGGUGGCGAGGGCGGCUCUCUGGACGGUCACUGACGCUGAGGGACGAAAGCCAGGGGAGCAAACGGGAUUAGAUCCCCCUGUAGU
RNAcentral lists this ribosomal RNA (430 nucleotides) under uncultured bacterium. RNAcentral describes it as "partial 16S ribosomal RNA". It matches the Rfam family "Bacterial small subunit ribosomal RNA", at positions 338 to 794 of the family's 1533-position model. The record is from RNAcentral.